Molecule: ribosomal RNA, 448 nt
Filed under: uncultured bacterium
Lineage: Bacteria
Description: bacterial SSU rRNA
Rfam family: Bacterial small subunit ribosomal RNA
Source: RNAcentral
ACGAACGCUGGCGGCAGGCCUAACACAUGCAAGUCGAGCGCCCAGCAAUGGGAGCGGCAGACGGGUGAGUAACGCGUGGGAACCUUCCCAAUGGUACGGAAUAGCUCAGGGAAACUUGAGGUAAUACCGAAUAAGCCCGAAAGGGGAAGAUUUAUCGCCAUUGGAUGGGCCCGCGUAGGAUUAGCUAGUUGGUGAGGUAAUGGCUCACCAAGGCGACGAUCCUUAGCUGGUUUGAGAGAAUGACCAGCCACACUGGGACUGAGACACGGCCCAGACUCCUACGGGAGGCAGCAGUGGGGAAUCUUGGACAAUGGGCGCAAGCCUGAUCCAGCCAUGCCGCGUGAGUGACGAAGGUCUUCGGAUUGUAAACCUCUUUCAGCUCCGACGAAGCGAGAGUGACGGUAGGAGCAGAAGAAGCACCGGCCAACUACGUGCCAGCAGCCGCAGU